UGUGGGUAGCGGUGAAAUUCCAAUCGAGCCCGGAGAUAGCUGGUUCUCCCCGAAAUAGCUUUAGGGCUAGCCUCAAGGUGAGAGAUACGGAGGUAGAGCACUGAAUGUCCUAGGGGGUAUUCCACCUACCGAAGACUAUCAAACUCCGAAUGCCGUCAUCUUAUACUUGGGAGUCAGACUGUGGGUGAUAAGCUCCAUAGUCGAAAUGGCAACAGCCCAGAUCGUCAGCUAAGGUCCCUAAAUGUAAGUUAAGUGGUAAAGGAUGUGGGAUUGCACAGACAACCAGGAUGUUGGCUUAGAAGCAGCCACUCAUUCAAAGAGUGCGUAAUAGCUCACUGGUCGAGUGAUCCUGCGCCGAAGAUUUCCGGGGCUAAAACUUACUACCGAAGCUACGGCAUCAGUAAUGAUGGGUAGGGGAGCUUCCCAUACGGGUUGAAGCAUGACCGUAAGGACAUGUGGACAGUAUGGGAGUGAGAAUGUUGGCAUGAGUAGCGAGAUGUGGGUGAGAAUCCCACAGGCCGUAAACCCAAGGUUUCCAGGGGAAGGUUCGUCCGCCCUGGGUUAGUCGGGACCUAAGCUGAGGCCGAAAGGCGUAGGUGAUGGACAACAGGUUGAUAUUACUGUACUACCGAUAACCGUUUGAGAGAAGGGAUGACACAGUAGGAUAAGCUAAGCACACUGUUGGUUAUGUGUGCCCAAGCAUUGAGGCAGUCAAAGUAGGUAAAUCCGCUUUGAUAAUGCUGGGAUGUGAUGGGGAGCGAAAUUUAGUAGCGAAGUAGCUGAUUUCACACUGUCAAGAAAAGUCUCUAUCGAGGUUAAAGGUACCCGUACCGCAAACCGACACAGGUGGGUGAGGAGAGUAUCCUAAGGCCAGCGAGAGAACUGUUGUUAAGGAACUCGGCAAAAUGACCCCGUAACUUAGGGAUAAGGGGUGCCACCAUCAGGUGGCCGCAGAGAAUAGGCCCAAGCGACUGUUUACCAAAAACAUAGGUUUCUGCUAAGUCGCAAGACGAUGUAUAGGAGCUGACGCCUGCCCGGUGCUGGAAGGUUAAGGGGAUCUGUUAGAGCAAUCGAAGCAGUGAACUUAAGCCCCAGUAAACGGCGGCCGUAACUAUAACGGUCCUAAGGUAGCGAAAUUCCUUGUCGGGUAAGUUCCGACCCGCACGAAAGGCGUAACGAUUUGGGCACUGUC
RNAcentral lists this ribosomal RNA (1192 nucleotides) under Clostridioides difficile. Its description in RNAcentral is "bacterial LSU rRNA". It matches the Rfam family "Bacterial large subunit ribosomal RNA", at positions 810 to 2020 of the family's 2925-position model. The record is from RNAcentral. Lineage: Bacteria; Bacillati; Bacillota; Clostridia; Peptostreptococcales; Peptostreptococcaceae.